Dermochelys coriacea (leatherback sea turtle) is the source of this 681-nucleotide long non-coding RNA. RefSeq lists it as uncharacterized. The transcript is spliced from 2 exons. Lineage: Eukaryota; Metazoa; Chordata; Testudines; Dermochelyidae. The record is from RefSeq and is a predicted model, not a curated record.
CCUUAUGCCAUCUGAUCCUAAACUGAACUUUGCACCCCUUGAUAAUCUUUACCUUAUUCUCUGAUAACCAGAAACUUCUACGCUUAAACUCUGUACCAUUUUUUUUUAUUUUAACAUCAUCUUAGUCUCAGUGAUAGAUUUCCUUUAACCAGAAGACAACGUCAGACAUCCAUGUUGAUACUAUUAGAUGUGCCAGCAGCUGCAUACUGUUGAUCACAAGUGCUGAGACUUGACUAUAAGAUCUGGCAGAGGCGGACAUAAUGUAUGUUAGUGUCGCUGUUCAUUCCUUUCUCAGAUAUCACAGAAGUGCUUAUCAGGCAAAUAUUCUCCCUCACCACGUCUCACAGUAGUAAUUCCUAAUCCUUUCAGGGAAGGCUAUUUGCUCUUUUGAUGGGCUUGUUCUGUAUGCCCCCCUGCUUAUUGGGAAAAGCCUGUUUUGCAUUUGGUCUAUCCUGUCAUUGCACCCAGAUGCAACAAUAUUGGGCAUAUUAUCAUUAUUUGCAAUAGUAACUAAGGGGAAAAGAGCAAGAAUUAGCCUUAGGUGUUUGGGAAGAUCUCUACUAGAAAAGUCAGCCUUUGCUCUAAAAUCCUCUGAGCUUAUGGCAAGUGAAAGUUUUGUUCUGCUGCUGGUUCAGUUCAUCCCAUGCUAUCAAAUCAACCACAUCUCUCUCUCCACUGCCC